This 41-nucleotide transfer RNA is filed under the name Asplenium haurakiense. RNAcentral's name for it is "partial tRNA-Leu". The record is from RNAcentral. Lineage: Eukaryota; Viridiplantae; Streptophyta; Polypodiopsida; Polypodiales; Aspleniaceae.
GUUUCACAAGACCGUGAGGGUUCGACUCCCUCUAUCCCCAA